This 250-nucleotide ribosomal RNA is filed under the name uncultured prokaryote. Its description in RNAcentral is "partial 16S ribosomal RNA". It matches the Rfam family "Bacterial small subunit ribosomal RNA", at positions 524 to 774 of the family's 1533-position model. The record is from RNAcentral.
UACGUAGGUGGCGAGCGUUGUCCGGAUUUACUGGGUGUAAAGGGCGAGUAGGCGGGCUUGCAAGUCAGGUGUGAAAGCCCGGGGCUCAACCCCGGAACUGCACUUGAAACUGUAGGUCUUGAGUGAUGGAGAGGCAGGCGGAAUUCCCGGUGUAGCGGUGGAAUGCGUAGAUAUCGGGAGGAACACAGUGGCGAAGGCGGCCUGCUGGACAUUAACUGACGCUGAGGAGCGAAAGUGUGGGGAGCAAACA